RNAcentral lists this ribosomal RNA (255 nucleotides) under uncultured bacterium. Its description in RNAcentral is "partial 16S ribosomal RNA". It matches the Rfam family "Bacterial small subunit ribosomal RNA", at positions 108 to 353 of the family's 1533-position model. The record is from RNAcentral.
GAGUAAUACAUAAGUAACCUGCCCUAGACAGGGGGAUAACUUAUUGGAAACGAUAGCUAAGACCGCAUAGGUACGGACACUGCAUGGUGACCGUAUUAAAAGUGCCUCAAAGCACUGGUAGAGGAUGGACUUAUGGCGCAUUAGCUGGUUGGCGGGGUAACGGCCCACCAAGGCGACGAUGCGUAGCCGACCUGAGAGGGUGACCGGCCACACUGGGACUGAGACACGGCCCAGACUCCUACGGGAGGCAGCAUG